CAGGUCCUAACACAUGCAAGUCGAACGAGUGCCUUCGGGUGCUAGUGGCGCACGGGUGCGUAACGCGUGGGAAUCUGCCCCUUGGUUCGGAAUAACCGUUGGAAACGACGGCUAAUACCGGAUGAUGACGUAAGUCCGAAGAUUUAUCGCCGAGGGAUGAGCCCGCGUAGGAUUAGGUAGUUGGUGUGGUAAAGGCGCACCAAGCCGACGAUCCUUAGCUGGUCUGAGAGGAUGAUCAGCCACACUGGGACUGAGACACGGCCCAGACUCCUACGGGAGGCAGCAGUGGGGAAUAUUGGACAAUGGGCGAAAGCCUGAUCCAGCAAUGCCGCGUGAGUGAUGAAGGCCUUAGGGUUGUAAAGCUCUUUUACCCGGGAUGAUAAUGACAGUACCGGGAGAAUAAUCUCCGGCUAACUCCGUGCCAGCAGCCGCGGUAAU
This 438-nucleotide ribosomal RNA is filed under the name uncultured bacterium. Its description in RNAcentral is "bacterial SSU rRNA". It matches the Rfam family "Bacterial small subunit ribosomal RNA", at positions 43 to 524 of the family's 1533-position model. The record is from RNAcentral.